This 406-nucleotide ribosomal RNA is filed under the name Helix figulina. Its description in RNAcentral is "partial 16S ribosomal RNA". It matches the Rfam family "Archaeal large subunit ribosomal RNA", at positions 1909 to 2670 of the family's 2987-position model. Lineage: Eukaryota; Metazoa; Mollusca; Gastropoda; Stylommatophora; Helicidae. The record is from RNAcentral.
AGCUACUUGAGUUAAUAAGUAGUUAUUUCUGCUCCAUGAUAAUUAAAUAGCCGCAGUACCCUGACUGUGCAAAGGUAGCAUAAUCAGUUGGCUCUUAAUUAGAGUCUGGAAUGAAUGAAAACAUGGAUGGUAACUAUCUAAGUGUAUUUUUUUGAACUUAAUAAAUAAGUGAAAAUACUUAUAUUAAUAUAAUAGACGAGAAGACCCUAGAAACUUGAAUUGAUUUUUGUUGGGGCGACAAAAUUACAUUUAACUAAUUUUUUUAAACGGGACGUUAAAACGAAAGAAUAAGUUACUCUAGGGAUAACAGCAUAAUUUUAAUAGUUUGUGACCUCGAUGUUGGACUAGGUAUUAUAUCCUUAAGAGAAGGAUAUAAGGUGCUCUGUUCGAGCAAAUACACCUACAU